GAGCAGCUAAAGAUGAGAGGGGCUCA
RNAcentral lists this non-coding RNA (26 nucleotides) under Homo sapiens (human). The record is from RNAcentral. Lineage: Eukaryota; Metazoa; Chordata; Mammalia; Primates; Hominidae.